UAGAACAGGACGUGGGGUUUUGCGCUGAACGGGUCUCGCAGCACGCGCAGUUCCGGGCGCUCGGCGAUGGUGUAGCCCGCCGUGAAGUCACCAAACGCAAUUGCCAUGGCGUCCGAUGCGAUGUCGGGCAUGUCCUCAGCGAUCAGAACCGGGUAACCCAUGAGCCGCGCCGGCUCACCUGCAGCCAGACCGUCGGACCACAGGAAGCGGCCAUCGGCAUCCUUCAUCUUGCGCACGGCACCGGCAGUCUUCGAAUUCAUCACGAAGGCCGCGUUCGCGCGGUAGCGGGCGCCGAGCGAAUAGACCAGGUCAACGAUGGCAUCGGCCGGGUUCACCGUGUCGAAGUCACCGGCGGUACCGGUGAUGACAUAGCCGACAUUUCCCCAGCUCCAGCUUGCCUCGGCCACCGUCGUGUGGGUCAGGAAACCGGUGGGUUUGUCCACCCCAUCGCCCGAGACAAACGCCAUCGCUUCGGCGCGGGCGAACUUGUCGGCGAUGCGACCAGCCAGCCAGCCCUCGAUGUCGAACGCGGUGUCGUCCAGCAGCCGCUGAGACGCCUUGGGCAGCGCCGAAAGCUCGUGCAGCGGGAUCGAGAUCCGUUCGAUCUGCGGCGUGUCGGUCUCGGUGGUGGUGCUGGUUUCAUCUGCCCAGCCCGCACCCACAUCGGCGGUGUCGACCAGCACGUCGAACGACGUCGCCUCCACAUUCACUACAUUGGCGACGGCGCGCAGCGAAGACGCCCCUUGCAGCACGCCCUGGAUCAUCUCGGCGGUUUGCGGAUCGACCAGAUAGCC
Molecule: ribosomal RNA, 794 nt
Filed under: uncultured Rhodobacterales bacterium
Lineage: Bacteria; Pseudomonadati; Pseudomonadota; Alphaproteobacteria; Rhodobacterales
Description: partial 16S ribosomal RNA
Source: RNAcentral